Pteropus alecto (black flying fox) is the source of this 46-nucleotide non-coding RNA. NCBI's taxonomy places the organism in Eukaryota, Metazoa, Chordata, Mammalia, Chiroptera, Pteropodidae. The record is from Rfam.
CCAAAGGCUCUUUUCAGAGCCACCCACCGGUCUCUAGAGGAGAGCU